RNAcentral lists this ribosomal RNA (464 nucleotides) under Vreelandella stevensii. Its description in RNAcentral is "partial 16S ribosomal RNA". It matches the Rfam family "Bacterial small subunit ribosomal RNA", at positions 338 to 795 of the family's 1533-position model. Lineage: Bacteria; Pseudomonadati; Pseudomonadota; Gammaproteobacteria; Oceanospirillales; Halomonadaceae. The record is from RNAcentral.
CCUACGGGUGGCUGCAGUGGGGAAUAUUGGACAAUGGGCGAAAGCCUGAUCCAGCCAUGCCGCGUGUGUGAAGAAGGCCUUCGGGUUGUAAAGCACUUUCAGUGGGGAAGAAAGCCUUGGGGCUAAUACCCUCGAGGAAGGACAUCACCCACAGAAGAAGCACCGGCUAACUCCGUGCCAGCAGCCGCGGUAAUACGGAGGGUGCGAGCGUUAAUCGGAAUUACUGGGCGUAAAGCGCGCGUAGGCGGUCUGAUAAGCCGGUUGUGAAAGCCCCGGGCUCAACCUGGGAACGGCAUCCGGAACUGUCAGGCUAGAGUGCAGGAGAGGAAGGUAGAAUUCCCGGUGUAGCGGUGAAAUGCGUAGAGAUCGGGAGGAAUACCAGUGGCGAAGGCGGCCUUCUGGACUGACACUGACGCUGAGGUGCGAAAGCGUGGGUAGCAAACAGGAUUAGUACCCUAGUAGUC